RNAcentral lists this ribosomal RNA (440 nucleotides) under uncultured bacterium. RNAcentral describes it as "bacterial SSU rRNA". It matches the Rfam family "Bacterial small subunit ribosomal RNA", at positions 338 to 795 of the family's 1533-position model. The record is from RNAcentral.
CCUACGGGAGGCAGCAGUGGGGAAUAUUGCACAAUGGGCGCAAGCCUGAUGCAGCGACGCCGCGUGAGCGAUGAAGGCCUUCGGGUCGUAAAGCCCUGUCCUAAGGGAAGAAUAAUGACGGUACCUUAGGAGGAAGCCCCGGCUAACUACGUGCCAGCAGCCUCGGUAAUACGUAGGGGGCGAGCGUUAUCCGGAAUCACUGGGCGUAAAGGGUGCGUAGGCGGCCAUGCAAGUCAGGAGUUAAAUCCCUCGGCUCAACCGAGGUCAGCACUUGAAACUGUAGGGCUUGAGUGGAGGAGAGGAGAGCGGAAUUCCUAGUGUCGCGGUGAAAUGCGUAGAUAUGAGGACGAACACCAGUGGCGAAGGCGGCUCGCUGGACUGCAAAUGACGCUGAGGCACAAAAGCGUGGGGAGCGAACAGGAUUAGAUACCCGAGUAGGC